GCAAGCACUUUAAAAGGGAGCGCUGUUUUUUGAAAAGCAGUGCGUCGGGGAAGUCAGGUGAGAGUCCUGCACAAUGCCCGUUGCUGUAUGGGAGUAGUGCUGUUCCAUGAUGUCAUUGUAGACAAAUGGUCUAUGAGAAGGCGGAACAGUGUGUUUGAUACCUAAGUCAGAAUACCCGCUUUUAAAGGAAUCUGAGA
RNAcentral lists this non-coding RNA (197 nucleotides) under Lachnospiraceae bacterium. The record is from RNAcentral. Lineage: Bacteria; Bacillati; Bacillota; Clostridia; Lachnospirales; Lachnospiraceae.